Molecule: ribosomal RNA, 484 nt
Filed under: uncultured bacterium
Lineage: Bacteria
Description: partial 16S ribosomal RNA
Rfam family: Bacterial small subunit ribosomal RNA
Source: RNAcentral
AUUGAACGCUGGCGGCAGGCCUAACACAUGCGAGUCGAGCGGAUGAAGGGAGCUUGCUCCUGGAUUCAGCGGCGGACGGGUGAGUAAUGCCUAGGAAUCUGCCUGGUAGUGGGGGAUAACGUCCGGAAACGGGCGCUAAUACCGCAUACGUCCUGAGGGAGAAAGUGGGGGAUCUUCGGACCUCACGCUAUCAGAUGAGCCUAGGUCGGAUUAGCUAGUUGGUGGGGUAAAGGCCUACCAAGGCGACGAUCCGUAACUGGUCUGAGAGGAUGAUCAGUCACACUGGAACUGAGACACGGUCCAGACUCCUACGGGAGGCAGCAGUGGGGAAUAUUGGACAAUGGGCGAAAGCCUGAUCCAGCCAUGCCGCGUGUGUGAAGAAGGUCUUCGGAUUGUAAAGCACUUUAAGUUGGGAGGAAGGGCAGUAAGUUAAUACCUUGCUGCUUUGACGUUACCAACAGAAUAAGCACCGGCUAACUUCGUG